This 253-nucleotide ribosomal RNA is filed under the name uncultured prokaryote. RNAcentral's name for it is "partial 16S ribosomal RNA". It matches the Rfam family "Bacterial small subunit ribosomal RNA", at positions 525 to 777 of the family's 1533-position model. The record is from RNAcentral.
ACGUAGGAGGCGAGCGUUAUCCGGAGUUACUGGGCGUAAGGCGCAUGUAGGCGGUUGGAUAAGUUGCGUGUGAAAGCUCCUGGCUAAACUAGGAGAGGACAGGCAAGACUGUUCGGCUAGAGGGUGGUAGAGGGGCACAGAAUUCGGGGUGUAGCGGUGAAAUGUGUAGAGAUCCCGAGGAAUACCAGUGGUGAAGACGGUGCCCUGGGCCAUACCUGACGCUGAGAUGCGAAAGCGUGGGGAGCGAACGGGA